GUCAGAAAUAUAUCAGGAGACGUUGGCAAAAGCACUUGCAAAACACUUUGGAGCUAAAUUGCUCAUAUUUGAUAGCCAUUCACUUUUGGGUGGUUUAUCUUCCAAAGAAGCUGAGCUGCUCAAAGAUGGAUUUAAUGCUGAGAAAUCCUGCAACUUCGCUAAACAAAGUCCUACAGCCACAGACACGGCGAGGAGCAUGGAUCCACCAGCUAGUGAACCAGAUACACCUAAUUCCUCAAAUGCACCUACUUCAUACGGCGUUGAGUCUCAACCUAAGUUGGAAGCUGAUAAUGUUCCAUCUACCUCUGGGACAACUAAAAGUUGUGUGUUUAAACUAGGUGACAGGGUAAAGUAUAAUUGUUCAUCUUCUUUGGGCUUUUAUCAGACAUCUUCAAGG
This is a non-coding RNA of Cajanus cajan (pigeon pea), 397 nucleotides long. The record is from RefSeq and is a predicted model, not a curated record. NCBI's taxonomy places the organism in Eukaryota, Viridiplantae, Streptophyta, Magnoliopsida, Fabales, Fabaceae.